RNAcentral lists this ribosomal RNA (253 nucleotides) under uncultured bacterium. RNAcentral's name for it is "partial 16S ribosomal RNA". It matches the Rfam family "Bacterial small subunit ribosomal RNA", at positions 524 to 776 of the family's 1533-position model. The record is from RNAcentral.
GACAGAGGGUGCAAACGUUGCUCGGAAUUACUGGGCGUAAAGCGUGCGCAGGCGGUUUCGUAAGACCGAUGUGAAAUCCCCGGGCUUAACCUGGGAACUGCAUUGGUGACUGCAAGGCUUGAGUGUGUCAGAGGGAGGUGGAAUUCCGCGUGUAGCAGUGAAAUGCGUAGAUAUGCGGAGGAACACCGAUGGCGAAGGCAGCCCCCUGGGUCGACACUGACGCUCAGGCACGAAAGCGUGGGGAGCAAACAGG